Molecule: ribosomal RNA, 258 nt
Filed under: uncultured bacterium
Lineage: Bacteria
Description: partial 16S ribosomal RNA
Rfam family: Bacterial small subunit ribosomal RNA
Source: RNAcentral
UACGUAGGGUGCUAGCGUUGUCCGGAUUUAUUGGGCGUAAAGGGCUCGUAGGCGGCGUGUCGCGUCGGGGAGUGAAAAGCCCGCUGCUUAACGGCGGGUUGGCUUCCGGUACGGGCAUCGCUGGAGUGCGGCAGGGGAGACUGGAAUUCCUGGUGUAGCGGUGAAAUGCGCAGAUAUCAGGAGGAACACCGAUGGCGAAGGCAGGUCUCUGGGCCACUACUGACGCUGGAGAAGCGAAAGCAUGGGGGAGCGAACAGG